GGAAGGCCGGUUCGGAUUAUAGGCCAACGGGUAAAGGUUGUGGGCCGAAAGCAAGUCAAGAUGGUUCAGGUUGUUUGGGAUUGUGAUGGGAAAGAAAAAACUACUUGGGAACCAGAAUCGAGUAUGAAGGAGAAAUUUUCUAAGUGGUUUGAGAAGCAACCAAAACAGAAGAAGGAAAAGCUGAGGAAGAGAAGAGAUUCAAGGACGAGUCUCACCAUAAGUGGGGGAGACUUGUAACUGAUAACACCG
RNAcentral lists this long non-coding RNA (249 nucleotides) under Eutrema salsugineum. RNAcentral's name for it is "long non-coding RNA (ESAL_LNC000499)". The record is from RNAcentral. Lineage: Eukaryota; Viridiplantae; Streptophyta; Magnoliopsida; Brassicales; Brassicaceae.